This 495-nucleotide ribosomal RNA is filed under the name uncultured bacterium. RNAcentral's name for it is "partial 16S ribosomal RNA". It matches the Rfam family "Bacterial small subunit ribosomal RNA", at positions 28 to 507 of the family's 1533-position model. The record is from RNAcentral.
GACGAACGCUGGCGGCGUGCCUAAUACAUGCAAGUAGAACGCUGAAGGAGGAGCUUGCUCUUCUGGAUGAGUUGCGAACGGGUGAGUAACGCGUAGGUAACCUGCCUGGUAGCGGGGGAUAACUAUUGGAAACGAUAGCUAAUACCGCAUAACAGUAGAUGUUGCAUGACAUUUGCUUAAAAGGUGCAAUUGCACCACUACCAGAUGGACCUGCGUUGUAUUAGCUAGUUGGUGGGGUAACGGCUCACCAAGGCGACGAUACAUAGCCGACCUGAGAGGGGGAUCGGCCACACUGGGACUGAGACACGGCCCAGACUCCUACGGGAGGCAGCAGUAGGGAAUCUUCGGCAAUGGACGGAAGUCUGACCGAGCAACGCCGCGUGAGUGAAGAAGGGUUUCGGAUCGUAAAGCUCUGUUGUAAGAGAAGAACGAGUGUGAGAGUGGAAAGUUCACACUGUGACGGUAGCUUACCAGAAAGGGACGGCUAACUACGUG